AGCGAACGUUUGCGGCGGGCCUAACACAUGCAAGUCGAACGGGCUAGCAAUAGUCAGUGGCGCACGGGUGCGUAACACGUGGGUAAUCAACCCUUCAGCUCGGGAUAACGCCUCGAAAGGGGGGCUAAUACCGCAUGAGACCACGGCUUUUCGGGGCUGUGGGAAAAGGUGGGUCGCAAGGCCUGCCACCUGAGGAUGAGCCCGCGUACCAUUAGGUUGUUGGUGGGGUAAUGGCCUACCAAGCCGAAGAUGGUUAGCUGGUCUGAGAGGACGAUCAGCCACACUGGAACUGAGACACGGUCCAGACUCCUACGGGAGGCAGCAGUGGGGAAUUUUGGACAAUGGGGGCAACCCUGAUCCAGCCAUGCCGCGUGAGUGAAGAAGGCC
RNAcentral lists this ribosomal RNA (387 nucleotides) under uncultured bacterium. RNAcentral describes it as "bacterial SSU rRNA". It matches the Rfam family "Bacterial small subunit ribosomal RNA", at positions 29 to 416 of the family's 1533-position model. The record is from RNAcentral.